This 1233-nucleotide ribosomal RNA is filed under the name Staphylococcus pasteuri. RNAcentral describes it as "bacterial SSU rRNA". It matches the Rfam family "Bacterial small subunit ribosomal RNA", at positions 73 to 1290 of the family's 1533-position model. The record is from RNAcentral. Lineage: Bacteria; Bacillati; Bacillota; Bacilli; Caryophanales; Staphylococcaceae.
AAGGAGCUUGCUCCUUUGACGUUAGCGGCGGACGGGUGAGUAACACGUGGAUAACCUACCUAUAAGACUGGGAUAACUUCGGGAAACCGGAGCUAAUACCGGAUAAGAUUUUGAACCGCAUGGUUCAAUAGUGAAAGACGGCCUUGCUGUCACUUAUAGAUGGAUCCGCGCCGUAUUAGCUAGUUGGUAAGGUAACGGCUUACCAAGGCAACGAUACGUAGCCGACCUGAGAGGGUGAUCGGCCACACUGGAACUGAGACACGGUCCAGACUCCUACGGGAGGCAGCAGUAGGGAAUCUUCCGCAAUGGGCGAAAGCCUGACGGAGCAACGCCGCGUGAGUGAUGAAGGUCUUCGGAUCGUAAAACUCUGUUAUCAGGGAAGAACAAACGUGUAAGUAACUGUGCACGUCUUGACGGUACCUGAUCAGAAAGCCACGGCUAACUACGUGCCAGCAGCCGCGGUAAUACGUAGGUGGCAAGCGUUAUCCGGAAUUAUUGGGCGUAAAGCGCGCGUAGGCGGUUUUUUAAGUCUGAUGUGAAAGCCCACGGCUCAACCGUGGAGGGUCAUUGGAAACUGGAAAACUUGAGUGCAGAAGAGGAAAGUGGAAUUCCAUGUGUAGCGGUGAAAUGCGCAGAGAUAUGGAGGAACACCAGUGGCGAAGGCGACUUUCUGGUCUGUAACUGACGCUGAUGUGCGAAAGCGUGGGGAUCAAACAGGAUUAGAUACCCUGGUAGUCCACGCCGUAAACGAUGAGUGCUAAGUGUUAGGGGGUUUCCGCCCCUUAGUGCUGCAGCUAACGCAUUAAGCACUCCGCCUGGGGAGUACGACCGCAAGGUUGAAACUCAAAGGAAUUGACGGGGACCCGCACAAGCGGUGGAGCAUGUGGUUUAAUUCGAAGCAACGCGAAGAACCUUACCAAAUCUUGACAUCCUUUGACCGCUCUAGAGAUAGAGUUUUCCCCUUCGGGGGACAAAGUGACAGGUGGUGCAUGGUUGUCGUCAGCUCGUGUCGUGAGAUGUUGGGUUAAGUCCCGCAACGAGCGCAACCCUUAAGCUUAGUUGCCAUCAUUAAGUUGGGCACUCUAAGUUGACUGCCGGUGACAAACCGGAAGAAGGUGGGGAUGACGUCAAAUCAUCAUGCCCCUUAUGAUUUGGGCUACACACGUGCUACAAUGGACAAUACAAAGGGCAGCUAAACCGCGAGGUCAAGCAAAUCCCAUAAAGUUGUUCUCA